This 1149-nucleotide unclassified non-coding RNA is filed under the name Hevea brasiliensis (rubber tree). Lineage: Eukaryota; Viridiplantae; Streptophyta; Magnoliopsida; Malpighiales; Euphorbiaceae. The record is from RNAcentral.
AUAGAUUGCAAUAUAGAUGUACACACUUAGAUAUGGAGAUAGAUGAAUGUGUGAAAAUUUAAGAUCAUUAGAAUGAACAAAGCUUUUCAUACAUAUAUAUACACACACAUGUGGCCAUAUGCUUCCAUUUCAAUGGGAGAACUAGUUCAUUUUUUAUUAUAUAUGCGGGGAGGGGAAGUCGAAGCUGAGUAUUCUAGAGUAAAUAUAUAUACAGCUAACACAUAACUAUGGCCACUACUGUGGAGGCACCAGUUAUUUAUCUUUCUCCUUCAUCGUUCCCCUUGGUAUCUGUUUAAGGACCCUCGAAUCAAAUCUUCUAUACGUUUUGUUGGCUUGUUGAAACAAUCUACCAACAUAUUCAUCAACUUCUUCUUCGUAUCGAUCGUACAGAAAUGGCAGUGUUUGCGAGCAAACAAAAACUAUGUAAUAUAAAUACAGAAUCUAUCAGCUUAGCCAAAAGCUCAAAGUCAUGGACAAUAUAUAUUCAUUCAUAGAUAGAAUAGAGGGUGACAAAUUCUUACCCAGAUAAAGAAAAUUCAAGAAAGUGAAGUAGCUUCCGAUCACCGAUAAUAUAUAGAGAGAAACAACUGUCUGAUAAUUUGGAAGAUGGAAUUGAUUAAUGCAAUAAUUAAUUUUUUUUUUUUCAAUUAAGCUCAGGAGAUUCAAGCAUGCAGUUAAAGGCAAUACCAGAAUGAAGAGUCGUGGAUCUUUUCCGCAUGAAAUGUCAAGAAGCUUUGAUAGGGCUUGAUUGAAUCUUUCAUGGAAGGCUGAAGCAACUUCAUGGAAUGCAUGUCCAUCUAAAAUACUUGUGGGGAUCUUUGGGGAAUUCCAAUUGAAAAAGUCAGCUCCAGUACACCAUAUGAAGACAAUGAGCAUUGCGGUGAUGGAGAAGUGACAGAAAAGAGUGACAAAAUUGUACUCAACCACCUCAAAGAGAAACCAUAUCACAGUCAUACCAAUGCUAAGCGAACCUGAUACAUUUUUCUUUUUCCAUAAUAACACAUCUGCAACUUUUCCUCCUCCAAGAACAUCAUGUAUUGAUCUUUGCCUUCCAAAUAGCUUCCCUCUUGGAAUUGUUUCAUCCUCAGAAUCUGACAUAGCUGCAGCUAUACUAUAGAAUGACUUCUGUCUCUCUUUCUAAAUUUAGCA